RNAcentral lists this ribosomal RNA (922 nucleotides) under Bolbitius reticulatus. RNAcentral describes it as "eukaryotic LSU rRNA". It matches the Rfam family "Eukaryotic large subunit ribosomal RNA", at positions 47 to 956 of the family's 3401-position model. Lineage: Eukaryota; Fungi; Basidiomycota; Agaricomycetes; Agaricales; Bolbitiaceae. The record is from RNAcentral.
UAAGCGGAGGAAAAGAAACUAACAAGGAUUCCCCUAGUAACUGCGAGUGAAGCGGGAAAAGCUCAAAUUUAAAAUCUGGCAGUCUUUGGCUGUCCGAGUUGUAAACUAGAGAAGUGUUAUCCGCGCUGGACCGUGUAAAAGUCUCCUGGAAUGGAGCAUCAUAGAGGGUGAGAAUCCCGUCUUUGACAUGGACUACCAGUGCUUUGUGAUGCGCUCUCAAAGAGUCGAGUUGUUUGGGAAUGCAGCUCAAAAUGGGUGGUAAAUUCCAUCUAAAGCUAAAUAUUGGCGAGAGACCGAUAGCGAACAAGUACCGUGAGGGAAAGAUGAAAAGAACUUUGGAAAGAGAGUUAAACAGUACGUGAAAUUGCUGAAAGGGAAACGCUUGAAGUCAGUCGCGUUGGCCAGGAAUCAACCUUGCUUUUGCUGGGCGUACUUUCUGGUUGACGGGUCAGCAUCAAUUUUGACUGUUGGAAAAAGUUCAAGGGAAUGUGGCAUCUUCGGAUGUGUUAUAGCCCUCGUUCGCAUACAGCAGUUGGGAUUGAGGAACUCAGCACGCCGCAAGGCCGGGUUUCGACCACGUUCGUGCUUAGGAUGCUGGCAUAAUGGCUUUAAUCGACCCGUCUUGAAACACGGACCAAGGAGUCUAACAUGCCUGCGAGUGUUUGGGUGGAAAACCCAAGCGCGCAAUGAAAGUGAAAGUUGAGAUCCCUGUCGUGGGGAGCAUUGACGCCCGGACCAGACCUUUUGUGACGGAUCCGCGGUAGAGCAUGCAUGUUGGGACCCGAAAGAUGGUGAACUAUGCCUGAAUAGGGUGAAGCCAGAGGAAACUCUGGUGGAGGCUCGUAGCGAUUCUGACGUGCAAAUCGAUCGUCAAAUUUGGGUAUAGGGGCGAAAGACUAAUCGAACCAUCUAGUAGCUGGUC